Molecule: ribosomal RNA, 252 nt
Filed under: uncultured bacterium
Lineage: Bacteria
Description: partial 16S ribosomal RNA
Rfam family: Bacterial small subunit ribosomal RNA
Source: RNAcentral
UACGUAGGGAGCAAGCGUUGUCCGGAAUCAUUGGGCGUAAAGCGCGCGUAGGCGGCCCCGUAAGUCCGCUGUGAAAGUCAAAGGCUCAACCUUUGAAAGCCGGUGGAUACUGUGGGGCUAGAGUCCGGAAGAGGCGAGUGGAAUUCCUGGUGUAGCGGUGGAAUGCGCAGAUAUCAGGAGGAACACCAAUAGCGAAGGCAGCUCGCUGGACGGUACUGACGCUAAGGCGCGAAAGCGUGGGGAGCGAACAGG